Molecule: long non-coding RNA, 2798 nt
Organism: Equus asinus (donkey)
Lineage: Eukaryota; Metazoa; Chordata; Mammalia; Perissodactyla; Equidae
Source: Ensembl
CUCACCUGUGACCACCCAGCUCGAGACAACAGAACUGCCAUGCUGCUGUGUCCACCCAGACAGCAGACCUACCUGCUGUUUUCAUCAAUCACUGUGCUGACAGAGCAGACUCGUGACUAUCGUAAAAGGACAUUUCAAUCAUGUGAAACAUCCUGUUUGGGGGCCCCACAGUGAGAGCGGGACGUCAGUCAGGCUGCCCGGGACCACCCCGGCCACAGGACUCGCCGGAGGCAGCCUUGAAGAAGCUCAAUAACCAGUUUAUGAAUUUCACAGGCAACACAUAAACAAUUAAAGACCUCUUCUGAGGCUCCCUACUUCCCACGCUGAUCCUGAGGCUGCUUCCCCUAAAAACGUGCUUGCAUGGAGUUUCCUCCACCACCAAUGAACAGGGCGAGCGGCACUGCUUUCACAUCACGCCAGAAAAUGAAAGCCCCGUCUCAGGGCCACUUCAGAUCCCUGAGACUUCUAAGUACUGAUGGUCCUUCCCAACUCAAGGUCACCCAGGCUUCUUGGCUCAAGAUGAAAGCAGUUUCAUCGGGAUUUCCUUUGGCUUCAGUUUCCAGGAGCUGGUUCAUCGAUGCGCAUGUGACCCCAGCAGAAGCUUCUCUGGAAUUGCUGUAUGGACACUGGAAUUGCGAACCUGAGCAAAUGGGGGCCUGGAGCCCGUCUCAUCUGCCGUGUGGAGAAUAAGUUUGCGUCAGGAGGCCCAAGAGCAGUAGAGCCGAGCGGGGGAGGAGCGAGCCCUGCUCCCGGCCUGAGGACGCCUUGGAGCGGGUCUGAAGCCGGAUCCUCCCCUGGACAUCUUGUCACAGCGCCCAACGAUGUCCCAUUUCGCUCAUACCAGUUCAAGUGGGGUUUCUGUCAGGACUGAAGGCGCCCUGCCUGCUCUUGUCUAAUCUGAGGCCCCGUCUCUGUCACUCAGUCCGCCCCCCGCGGGGCUCAGUGGUCUUGUGAUGUUCUUAACAAACACCUGGUCUUGACAUGUCCCUGCUCAAUGUCCUAAACGCCUGUCGCCCACACGAUAAAAUAUAAACUCUGCACGCGGCGUUCCAGGCCUGCCACGAUGUGUCUCCUCCUGCCCGUGGGGCCUGUCUCCAGCCACUCUCCCUCCCAGAUUUUGACCGAGUGACAUUGAACUUGCUGGUCCCAAGCUCUCCCUGGCCUCUGAGCCUUUCUCCAGUUCUGUAUUCCUGAGAUGCCCUCCCCCUGCUUUGAGCUCAAAUGUCAUCUCCUCUGGAAAGUUUUCUUUUGCUUCCUUAGAUAGAAUUUAUUGCUUAUUCUCCUCUGCUCCCACGCUGUCCCCAUUUGGGUAAUCUUAUAGCAUGUCUUCGUUUUGGCCUUCUGUGACAGAGUAUCAGCUCGCUGAGAGCAGGGGAAGGCGUCUGUCUGCUGUCUUCACGCUUGGCCAGCAAAGCGCUCAAUGGGCACUCAAUAAACAUAUGGUGCAUGAGAGAAUGAGCGAAGGGUCAACACCAUCUCAGAGAGAAACCCCUCUCCUGGCUUCUCUCCAUACGCAGCUCCUCACCACCCAAUUUCCCCACAGGUUCUUAAACCUGUGCCAAAACUUAAAACUCCGUGUCUUUUCAAGACUACAGGUGUCUUAAAAGUCCUUAUCUGAGAUUUAAUGUUCUCAUAAGGCUUCUGAGGCAAGAGCCAGUUCUGAAGCCCAUUGGGCCUGCUGGACACCACAGCUGAAGGCACGUUGUGGACUGGGGAGAGAGGCUCCAGCCCUAACUUCCCUUAAUUGUUUACAAAAGUAUAAGCAUCUUUAAGAGGAAAGGAAUUGAAUACAAGAUACGUCAGAUGGUCCAUCAGGCUGAAGGGGCCCCUGCGGUGUGGACUGACUGUCCUCGGUUGCCUUAUCAGGUGGUGACAGUGACAACUCUCAGAACCUCAGUCGGUUUUCUCUGGGCUAAGACCCACAUGCUCCAUGGCCAUUUGGGAAGGGAGUGUAGGCUUGUUGGCUUUCCUGUUGUGUAGUGUGUGGUUUCUCUUACUGGCCAUCAGAGUAGAGCCCUGAAAGAGAGCUAGGUCCCUUCUUGCUAACCCCUGACACAGAGGUGCAGACACUAACCUAUGACGUUAGAUAGCUCUCGUGCAUACUGAUGGCUGAAUCAAAGCGGGGGGGAAAUGGGAGGCCACUGUAAAGGCAUAAGAAUACCUUUCAUUUACACUUUCUGGGGAACUAACCAGUAUCCUGUUAGCCUGAAAAAGUUAUUGAAACUUCCCAGAGGUGUCCAACUUACCCCCAGGAAAUAAUCUAGAUCUUUUCACGUUAUUUCAUUAUCUCAUAUGAUCUCACAAUUUUUCUGAGAAUAAGGUAGAGCAAGCAGGUGUGCUUUUUAUUUUGAAGAAAGAGAAAUGGACACAGAGGGAUUAAGAAGGGCAUUUCCCAAGGCUUGAGAGGGACCAUGCAGCCAGGGAGAGAAGGCCACUCUUGAGUCCAGCCCACGGGUCUUCAACCUUUGCUGCCUGCAUAGCCCCCAGAAGAAAGUGUAAAACUAGGUACUCCUCAUACAUUUCUAAGCUGACUUCAAAAUUUGUCCAUAAUGUGUUUAAAGAAUUGCAAAGAAAACAUUUCCGGAACUUUCUAAAUAUAAACAUUUAAAAAAUAUAUCUGAUAUAGCCAAUGGAAUGUAUCUUAUAGAUGUAUCCAUUGGAAUUUAAAUACAAAGCAAUUUGACUAUUGUAUCCAUUUAAACAAAAAUAAAUGAGCAAGAACUUCUUUAACUGUUAGAAAUUUUAUAUCAUUUAUUUAUUCUUGAACUUAUAUUUACAUUCCACUUCCCCCUCAGAAU